RNAcentral lists this ribosomal RNA (1886 nucleotides) under Escherichia coli J96. RNAcentral's name for it is "bacterial LSU rRNA". It matches the Rfam family "Bacterial large subunit ribosomal RNA", at positions 354 to 2228 of the family's 2925-position model. Lineage: Bacteria; Pseudomonadati; Pseudomonadota; Gammaproteobacteria; Enterobacterales; Enterobacteriaceae. The record is from RNAcentral.
GCGAUACAGGGUGACAGCCCCGUACACAAAAAUGCACAUAUUGUGAGCUCGAUGAGUAGGGCGGGACACGUGGUAUCCUGUCUGAAUAUGGGGGGACCAUCCUCCAAGGCUAAAUACUCCUGACUGACCGAUAGUGAACCAGUACCGUGAGGGAAAGGCGAAAAGAACCCCGGCGAGGGGAGUGAAAAAGAACCUGAAACCGUGUACGUACAAGCAGUGGGAGCCUCUUAAUGGGGUGACUGCGUACCUUUUGUAUAAUGGGUCAGCGACUUAUAUUCUGUAGCAAGGUUAACCGAAUAGGGGAGUCGAAGGGAAACCGAGUCUUAACUGGGCGUUAAGUUGCAGGGUAUAGACCCGAAACCCGGUGAUCUAGCCAUGGGCAGGUUGAAGGUUGGGUAACACUAACUGGAGGACCGAACCGACUAAUGUUGAAAAAUUAGCGGAUGACUUGUGGCUGGGGGUGAAAGGCCAAUCAAACCGGGAGAUAGCUGGUUCUCCCCGAAAGCUAUUUAGGUAGCGCCUCGUGAAUUCAUCUCCGGGGGUAGAGCACUGUUUCGGCAAGGGGGUCAUCCCGACUUACCAACCCGAUGCAAACUGCGAAUACCGGAGAAUGUUAUCACGGGAGACACACGGCGGGUGCUAACGUCCGUCGUGAAGAGGGAAACAACCCAGACCGCCAGCUAAGGUCCCAAAGUCAUGGUUAAGUGGGAAACGAUGUGGGAAGGCCCAGACAGCCAGGAUGUUGGCUUAGAAGCAGCCAUCAUUUAAAGAAAGCGUAAUAGCUCACUGGUCGAGUCGGCCUGCGCGGAAGAUGUAACGGGGCUAAACCAUGCACCGAAGCUGCGGCAGCGACACUAUGUGUUGUUGGGUAGGGGAGCGUUCUGUAAGCCUGUGAAGGUGGCCUGUGAGGGUUGCUGGAGGUAUCAGAAGUGCGAAUGCUGACAUAAGUAACGAUAAAGCGGGUGAAAAGCCCGCUCGCCGGAAGACCAAGGGUUCCUGUCCAACGUUAAUCGGGGCAGGGUGAGUCGACCCCUAAGGCGAGGCCGAAAGGCGUAGUCGAUGGGAAACAGGUUAAUAUUCCUGUACUUGGUGUUACUGCGAAGGGGGGACGGAGAAGGCUAUGUUGGCCGGGCGACGGUUGUCCCGGUUUAAGCGUGUAGGCUGGUUUUCCAGGCAAAUCCGGAAAACCAAGGCUGAGGCGUGAUGACGAGGCACUACGGUGCUGAAGCGACAAAUGCCCUGCUUCCAGGAAAAGCCUCUAAGCAUCAGGUAACAUCAAAUCGUACCCCAAACCGACACAGGUGGUCAGGUAGAGAAUACCAAGGCGCUUGAGAGAACUCGGGUGAAGGAACUAGGCAAAAUGGUGCCGUAACUUCGGGAGAAGGCACGCUGAUAUGUAGGUGAAGCGACUUGCUCGUGGAGCUGAAAUCAGUCGAAGAUACCAGCUGGCUGCAACUGUUUAUUAAAAACACAGCACUGUGCAAACACGAAAGUGGACGUAUACGGUGUGACGCCUGCCCGGUGCCGGAAGGUUAAUUGAUGGGGUUAGCGGCAACGCGAAGCUCUUGAUCGAAGCCCCGGUAAACGGCGGCCGUAACUAUAACGGUCCUAAGGUAGCGAAAUUCCUUGUCGGGUAAGUUCCGACCUGCACGAAUGGCGUAAUGAUGGCCAGGCUGUCUCCACCCGAGACUCAGUGAAAUUGAACUCGCUGUGAAGAUGCAGUGUACCCGCGGCAAGACGGAAAGACCCCGUGAACCUUUACUAUAGCUUGACACUGAACAUUGAGCCUUGAUGUGUAGGAUAGGUGGGAGGCUUUGAAGUGUGGACGCCAGUCUGCAUGGAGCCGACCUUGAAAUACCACCCUUUAAUGUUUGAUGUUCUAACGU